This 460-nucleotide ribosomal RNA is filed under the name uncultured bacterium. Its description in RNAcentral is "partial 16S ribosomal RNA". It matches the Rfam family "Bacterial small subunit ribosomal RNA", at positions 338 to 795 of the family's 1533-position model. The record is from RNAcentral.
CCUACGGGCGGCAGCAGUGAGGAAUAUUGGUCAAUGGACGAGAGUCUGAACCAGCCAAGUAGCGUGAAGGAUGACUGCCCUAUGGGUUGUAAACUUCUUUUAUAUGGGAAUAAAAUGUUCCACGUGUGGGAUUUUGUAUGUACCCUAUGAAUAAAGAUCGGCUAACUCCGUGCCAGCAGCCGCGGUAAUACGGAGGAUCCGAGCGUUAUCCGGAUUUAUUGGGUUUAAAGGGAGCGUAGGUGGGUUGUUAAGUCAGUUGUGAAAGUUUGCGGCUCAACCGUACAAUUGCAGUUGAAACUGGCAGUCUUGAGUACAGUAGAGGUGGGCGGAAUUCGUGGUGUAGCGGUGAAAUGCUUAGAUAUCACGAAGAACUCCGAUUGCGAAGGCAGUUCACUGGACUGCAACUGACACUGAGGCUCGAAAGUGUGGGUAUCAAACAGGAUUAGAUACCCUAGUAGUC